Molecule: long non-coding RNA, 372 nt
Organism: Nicotiana tabacum (common tobacco)
Lineage: Eukaryota; Viridiplantae; Streptophyta; Magnoliopsida; Solanales; Solanaceae
Source: RefSeq, a predicted model, not a curated record
CUGACAUCAAAAGCCUCAUAGAUACAUUAAUCAUGAAGAAUUUCUCAAGCAUAGCUGGCUUUAUAUUUCUGCUCUUCGUUGUUCUGGGCACUAAGACAAGAGGACAAAAAGUAUGCCUAGUUCCACAGGCAGUUACGAAACCUUGUGAUCCAACAGAUUGCAACACCCAAUGCUCUCUACACUGGGUAGGAAUUCCAACACCUGGUAAUAUUAAAGGACCACUUCUUGGAGCAAAUUGCUUCAGUGACAGUUGUUUUUGCACUUUUUGUUGUUUGCUUGGCUGCAAUUAGAUCUCUCCUUUCUUGAAUUCUCAUAUACUAGCUAGCUAUUCCUAAUUAGUGGAAUUUAUGGAGAUAACCCUUCUUUAUUACU